ACUGCCGGUUACUGGGUAGAAGACCGCAAAGAGAAGAAAACCCGUCAUCGGUUAGGAUGAACAUAUCAAGGAUUAACUCUCUGGGAAACAGGAAUAUGGAUUACAACUACCUUUUUAUUGGGUAGAAUACCGAAAAUGAGAAUAUUCGUCAUCGGUUAAGAUGACCAUAUCAAGGAUAGACUCAUGUAGGGGAGGGAAAGAU
Molecule: long non-coding RNA, 202 nt
Filed under: Lathyrus oleraceus (garden pea)
Lineage: Eukaryota; Viridiplantae; Streptophyta; Magnoliopsida; Fabales; Fabaceae
Description: Pisum sativum (pea) long non-coding RNA (PSAT_LNC020552)
Source: RNAcentral